RNAcentral lists this ribosomal RNA (906 nucleotides) under Monodictys austrina. Its description in RNAcentral is "LSU rRNA". It matches the Rfam family "Eukaryotic large subunit ribosomal RNA", at positions 37 to 961 of the family's 3401-position model. The record is from RNAcentral. Lineage: Eukaryota; Fungi; Ascomycota; Dothideomycetes; Pleosporales.
AGCAUAUCAAUAAGCGGAGGAAAAGAAACCAACAGGGAUUGCCCUAGUAACGGCGAGUGAAGCGGCAACAGCUCAAAUUUGAAAUCUGGCGUCUUCGGCGUCCGAGUUGUAAUUUGCAGAGGGCGCUUUGGCAUUGGCAGCGGUCCAAGUUCCUUGGAACAGGACGUCACAGAGGGUGAGAAUCCCGUACGUGGUCGCUAGCCUUUACCGUGUAAAGCCCCUUCGACGAGUCGAGUUGUUUGGGAAUGCAGCUCUAAAUGGGAGGUAAAUUUCUUCUAAAGCUAAAUACUGGCCAGAGACCGAUAGCGCACAAGUAGAGUGAUCGAAAGAUGAAAAGCACUUUGGAAAGAGAGUUAAAAAGCACGUGAAAUUGUUGAAAGGGAAGCGCUUGCAGCCAGACUUGCCUGUAGUUGCUCAUCCGGGUUUCUACCCGGUGCACUCUUCUAUAGGCAGGCCAGCAUCAGUUUGGGCGGUUGGAUAAAGGUCUCUGUCAUGUACCUCUCUUCGGGGAGAACUUAUAGGGGAGACGACAUGCAACCAGCCUGGACUGAGGUCCGCGCAUCUGCUAGGAUGCUGGCGUAAUGGCUGUAAGCGGCCCGUCUUGAAACACGGACCAAGGAGUCUAACAUCUAUGCGAGUGUUUGGGUGUCAAGCCCGAGCGCGUAAUGAAAGUGAACGGAGGUGGGAACCUUUCGGGGUGCACCAUCGACCGAUCCUGAUGUCUUCGGAUGGAUUUGAGUAAGAGCAUAGCUGUUGGGACCCGAAAGAUGGUGAACUAUGCUUGAAUAGGGUGAAGCCAGAGGAAACUCUGGUGGAGGCUCGCAGCGGUUCUGACGUGCAAAUCGAUCGUCAAAUUUGGGCAUAGGGGCGAAAGACUAAUCGAACUAUCUAGUAGCUGGUUCCUGC